AUAUCUCUCUGUACGGGAAGGAUGAGAAGCUUCGACUAAGGUUCGAUUCGAGCGCAGCGAGAAAGCGUUGCCGCAGGCAAC
Molecule: small RNA, 81 nt
Filed under: Salmonella enterica subsp. enterica serovar Muenchen
Lineage: Bacteria; Pseudomonadati; Pseudomonadota; Gammaproteobacteria; Enterobacterales; Enterobacteriaceae
Also listed under: 5 other names
Description: partial RtT sRNA
Rfam family: RtT RNA
About the family: This family represents a bacterial cis-regulatory element known as RtT RNA.
Source: RNAcentral